This 535-nucleotide ribosomal RNA is filed under the name uncultured bacterium. RNAcentral describes it as "bacterial SSU rRNA". It matches the Rfam family "Bacterial small subunit ribosomal RNA", at positions 975 to 1509 of the family's 1533-position model. The record is from RNAcentral.
UUGGCCUUGACAUACUAAGAACUUUCCAGAGAUGGAUUGGUGCCUUCGGGAACUUAGAUACAGGUGCUGCAUGGCUGUCGUCAGCUCGUGUCGUGAGAUGUUGGGUUAAGUCCCGCAACGAGCGCAACCCUUUUCCUUAUUUGCCAGCGGGUAAUGCCGGGAACUUUAAGGAUACUGCCAGUGACAAACUGGAGGAAGGCGGGGACGACGUCAAGUCAUCAUGGCCCUUACGGCCAGGGCUACACACGUGCUACAAUGGUCGGUACAAAGGGUUGCUACCUCGCGAGAGGAUGCUAAUCUCAAAAAGCCGAUCGUAGUCCGGAUCGCAGUCUGCAACUCGACUGCGUGAAGUCGGAAUCGCUAGUAAUCGCGGAUCAGAAUGCCGCGGUGAAUACGUUCCCGGGCUUUGUACACACCGCCCGUCACACCAUGGGAGUUUGUUGCACCAGAAGUAGGUAGUCUAACCGCAAGGAGGACGCUUACCACGGUGUGGCCGAUGACUGGGGUGAAGUCGUAACAAGGUAAGCGUAGAUGA